Molecule: ribosomal RNA, 875 nt
Filed under: uncultured archaeon
Lineage: Archaea
Description: bacterial SSU rRNA
Rfam family: Archaeal small subunit ribosomal RNA
Source: RNAcentral
CCUGACUGCUAUCGGAUUGAUACUAAGCCAUGCUAGUCUUUGUAGUAAUACAAGGCAUACGGCUCAGUAACGCGUAGUCAACCUACCCUAUGGACGGGGAUAAUCUCGGGAAACUGAGCAUAAUACCCGGUAGACCACUUAUCCUGGAAUGGUUAGUGGUUAAAAUGAUUCGUCGCCAUAGGAUGGGACUGCGGCCUAUCAGCUUGUUGGUGAGGUAAUGGCCCACCAAGGCGAUUACAGGUACGGGCUCUGAGAGGAGAGGCCCGGAGAUGGGUACUGAGACAAGGACCCAGGCCCUAUGGGGCGCAGCAGGCGAGAAAACUUUGCAAUGUGCGAAAGCACGACAAGGUUAAUCCGAGUGAUUUCUGCUAAAGGAAUCUUUUGUUAGUUCUAAAAAUACUAGUGAAUAAGGGGUGGGCAAGUUCUGGUGUCAGCCGCCGCGGUAAAACCAGCACCUCAAGUGGUCAGGAGGAUUAUUGGGCCUAAAGCAUCCGUAGCCUGUUCUAUAAGUUUGCGGUUAAAUCUAUACGCUCAACGUAUAGGCUGCCGUAAAUACUGUAGAACUAGGGAGUGGGAGAGGUAGACGGUACUCGAUAGGAAGGGGUAAAAUCCUUUGAUCUAUCGAUGACCACCUGUGGCGAAGGCGGUCUACCAGAACACGUUCGACGGUGAGGGAUGAAAGCUGGGGGAGCAAACCGGAUUAGAUACCCGGGUAGUCCCAGCUGUAAACGAUGCAGACUCGAUGAUGCAAUGGCAUAGAGCUAUUGCAGUAUCGCAGGGAAGCCGUUAAGUCUGCCGCCUGGGAAGUACGUACGCAAGUAUGAAACUUAAAGGAAUUGGCGGGGGAGCACCACAAGGGGUGAAGCCUGCGGUUC